AGAACGAACGCUGGCGGCAUGCCUAAUACAUGCAAGUCGAACGAACACUUCGGUGUUAGUGGCGCACGGGUGCGUAACGCGUGGGAAUCUGCCCUUGGGUUCGGAAUAACAGUUGGAAACGACUGCUAAUACCGGAUGAUAUCGAAAGAUCAAAGAUUUAUCGCCCAGGGAUGAGCCCGCGUAGGAUUAGCUAGUUGGUGAGGUAAAGGCUCACCAAGGCGACGAUCCUUAGCUGGUCUGAGAGGAUGAUCAGCCACACUGGGACUGAGACACGGCCCAGACUCCUACGGGAGGCAGCAGUAGGGAAUAUUGGACAAGUGGGCGCAAGCCUGAUCCAG
This 338-nucleotide ribosomal RNA is filed under the name uncultured soil bacterium. RNAcentral's name for it is "bacterial SSU rRNA". It matches the Rfam family "Bacterial small subunit ribosomal RNA", at positions 26 to 391 of the family's 1533-position model. The record is from RNAcentral.